Dipodomys ordii (Ord's kangaroo rat) is the source of this 65-nucleotide non-coding RNA. The record is from Rfam. Lineage: Eukaryota; Metazoa; Chordata; Mammalia; Rodentia; Heteromyidae.
GGUGGCUCAGUGGUAGAGUGCUUACCUUACAUGCAUGAGGCCCUGGGUUCAAUUCCUCAGCACCA